GCUCGCAUGGCUUAGUUGGUAAAGCGCAUGACUAGUAGUAAAAGCAAUCAUGAGAUCCUCGGUUCGAAUCCGAGUGUGAGCA
This 82-nucleotide transfer RNA is filed under the name Aspergillus tubingensis. Its description in RNAcentral is "tRNA-Thr". It matches the Rfam family "tRNA". Rfam says of the family: Transfer RNA (tRNA) molecules are approximately 80 nucleotides in length. Their secondary structure includes four short double-helical elements and three loops (D, anti-codon, and T loops). Lineage: Eukaryota; Fungi; Ascomycota; Eurotiomycetes; Eurotiales; Aspergillaceae. The record is from RNAcentral.